This 582-nucleotide ribosomal RNA is filed under the name Diaulota densissima. Its description in RNAcentral is "partial 16S ribosomal RNA". The stretch from base 342 to 501 matches the Rfam family "Bacterial large subunit ribosomal RNA", at positions 2473 to 2632 of the family's 2925-position model. The record is from RNAcentral. Lineage: Eukaryota; Metazoa; Arthropoda; Insecta; Coleoptera; Staphylinidae.
UUAAAUGGCCGCAGUAUUUUGACUGUGCAAAGGUAGCAUAAUCAAUAGUUUUUUAAUUAAAAACUGGAAUGAAGGGUUGAACGAAGAAAUAACUGUCUCAUAAUAAAUUUUUUAGAAUUUUAUUUUUAAGUAAAAAAGCUUAAAUAUUUUUAAAAGACGAGAAGACCCUAUAGAGUUUUAUAUUUUAAUUUAUUUAUUUUUUUAUUGUAUAUUUUUAAUUUAAUUAAUUAAAGUAUUUAAUUGGGGUGAUUGAAAAAUUUAAAAAACUUUUUUUAUAUUUAAACAUUAAUAUAUGAAUUAAUGAUCCAUUUUUUAUGAUUAUAAGAUUAAAUUACCUUAGGGAUAACAGCGUAAUUUCUUUUUAGAGUUCAAAUCGAUAAAGAAGUUUGCGACCUCGAUGUUGGAUUAAAAAAAAAUUUUGGUGUAGAAGCUAAAAUAUUUAGGUCUGUUCGACCUUUGAAAUUUUACAUGAUCUGAGUUUAAACCGGUGUGAGCCAGGUUGGUUUCUAUCUUUAAAUUAUUUAAUAUUUUAGUACGAAAGGACCAGAUAUUAAUAAUAAUUAUUUUUAUUUGAAUAAUAUU